RNAcentral lists this long non-coding RNA (1941 nucleotides) under Sus scrofa (pig). Its description in RNAcentral is "lncRNA (ENSSSCG00015052276.1)". The record is from RNAcentral. Lineage: Eukaryota; Metazoa; Chordata; Mammalia; Artiodactyla; Suidae.
CUUUUUAGGGCCAAACCUGUGGCACAUGGAAGUUCCCAGGCUAGCGGGCAAAUUGGAGCUACAGCUGUGGGCCUACACCACAGCCACAGCAACACCAGAUCCGAGUCGCAUCUGCAAUUUACACCAUAGUUCACGGCAAUGCUGGAUCCCUGACCCACUGCGUGAGGCCCAGGAUUGCACAAGAGGAAAUCUGGACACGCAAAAGAUAUGCCAGGGAUGUGUGCCCAUAGAGGAAGGACCAUGCUGCCAACAGCUUGAUCUUGGACUCCCAGCCACCACAACUGGGAGAAGACAACUUUCUGUUGUUUGAGCCAGCUCGUCUGUGGUAUUUUGUUACGGCAACCCUAACACACUAUUACACGCCUUCACUAUGUGUAAGUACAGGUUCCCCAUCAGAUGGCCUUGUUACCUGAGCAUGAAGCAUGUCCCAUCGUGCCCCAGUCUGCAAGGGAGCUGUGCAUUUCUCAUCCUGAUAUGGCUCCCUAAACCUUCUAAAUGAUCUGCCAUUGACCCAAACGCCUCCAGCUGACAUGUAUACUCUGCACUGCAAGUUAACACAGUAUCUGUCUUAGUGAGUCACACCAGAAAAUAAGUCUGCAACAAUGAUUCACAAAUGAAUACAGAAACAUUUUGAAAUUUCACACUCUGUUUCUGUGACCCAGGGGGUGCCCUUUGCAUUGCCGGCUAAGUUAUGCAUGCCCUUUGUCCUUCAAUGUCAAGGCUCCAAGGUUCCUUCUCUAUUACACAUACACACACACACACACACACACACACACACACCAGGAGUUCCCACUGUGGCACAACGGGAUCAGCGCCAUCUUGAGAGCACUGGGACGAAGGUUCGAUCCCCGGCCCAGGAGAGUGGGUGGAGGAUCUGGCGUUGCCGAGGCUGCAGCUUGGGUUGCAACUGAGUCUCAUAUUUGAUCCCUGGCCCUGAGAACUCCACGUGCUGUGGGGUGGCCAAAAAAGAAAAAACAAACAAACAAAACCCACAGCACUUUUGGAUUCUCCCAAUAUUCCUAGGUUUUCAUUGUUGGUUUUCAGGAAGUAUCUCUCCAUACCUUGAGUCCCUGAAAUUGUUUGGAAUUGCAGGCUGACAAUACCUCUGUCAAUGCAUAAAUCUACCUCCUGGAAACAGCAGAUCUCCUUGGAUCUUCAUGAUUCUGUAGGACUCUGUAGAUUCCUAGGAUUUUGGAUCAGCAAAUAAAUGUCUUUUUAAGGGAUAAAGGCAUGUUCCUCCAAAUUAUUGGCACUACUGCUAUGGACUGUGGCCAAAGUCACCCAAACAUCCAGUGAUGGGUAUCAGCCACUCAGUCUCCAUCUAGCAGGGGCAUGGCCUGUCUUCAUCAUCAGAAUGGUUCUCCGAGGCUCUAAGAGCUAGAUUGUGGACGGGUCACAAGAGCUAGGACUCUGGGGUCAGACAGAUCUUGUUUGAAUCCCAGCCCCACUGUCACCCAUUUGGGCCUCUAGACUUCACCCAGAAAAUGGUGUUAGUAGCUCCUAUUUAACAAGACUCCAUGACAAUUAGAUGAAAUGGGUCAACAACACGUAGAAUAUGCAUUUAGCAGAGUGUCUAGUGCAGAGUAAGUCAUUGUUACACAUUAAUUCUCUCCCCCCGAUUUCCCUCCUUCCUCUGCAUCUACCCUCCUGGUGUGAAGGACAGGGUCUUCUGGUCUCCCUCCUGGUACCCUUGACCCUCCACUGAUGGAUGGGGGAUGCCAGAGCUGGGGGUGGAAAUCUGCAGUCCUUGCUGUCAGCAUCUGUAAGUGCAGCCACAACUGUACAUCAGCAACACAGCAUCUGGACCUCGCUCCACUGUGACACUCACUGCCCGGGGCCCCAGUCCCAAGGGGGCUGUUCUAAACAGGUUUUCUUCCAAAAGAAGAAAGAAACUGACGGAUGGUAAGUAAUUGAUCCCUGACGAGAGGUAGGGAGAGCGCC